AGAGUUUGAUCAUGGCUCAGGACGAACGCUGGCGGCGUGCUUAACACAUGCAAGUCGAACGGAAAGGCCCUUCGGGGUACUCGAGUGGCGAACGGGUGAGUAACACGUGAGUGAUCUGCCCUGCACUUUGGGAUACACCUGGGAAACUGGGUCUAAUACCGAAUAGGACCACGCGCUUCAUGGUGUGUGGUGGAAAGCUUUUGCGGUGUGGGAUGGGCCCGCGGCCUAUCAGCUUGUUGGUGGGGUAAUGGCCUACCAAGGCGACGACGGGUAGCCGGCCUGAGAGGGUGACCGGCCACACUGGGACUGAGAUACGGCCCAGACUCCUACGGGAGGCAGCAGUGGGGAAUAUUGCACAAUGGGCGCAAGCCUGAUGCAGCGACGCCGCGUGAGGGAUGACGGCCUUCGGGUUGUAAACCUCUUUCAAUAGGGACGAAGCGCAAGUGACGGUACCUAUAGAAGAAGCACCGGCCAACUACGUGCCAGCAGCCGCGGUAAUACGUAGGGUGCGAGCGUUGUCCGGAAUUACUGGGCGUAAAGAGCUCGUAGGUGGUUUGUCGCGUUGUUCGUGAAAACUCACAGCUUAACUGUGGGCGUGCGGGCGAUACGGGCAGACUAGAGUACUGCAGGGGAGACUGGAAUUCCUGGUGUAGCGGUGGAAUGCGCAGAUAUCAGGAGGAACACCGGUGGCGAAGGCGGGUCUCUGGGCAGUAACUGACGCUGAGGAGCGAAAGCGUGGGGAGCGAACAGGAUUAGAUACCCCGGUAGUCC
This 771-nucleotide ribosomal RNA is filed under the name uncultured bacterium. Its description in RNAcentral is "bacterial SSU rRNA". It matches the Rfam family "Bacterial small subunit ribosomal RNA", at positions 8 to 796 of the family's 1533-position model. The record is from RNAcentral.